This 503-nucleotide ribosomal RNA is filed under the name uncultured bacterium. Its description in RNAcentral is "bacterial SSU rRNA". It matches the Rfam family "Bacterial small subunit ribosomal RNA", at positions 28 to 525 of the family's 1533-position model. The record is from RNAcentral.
GACGAACGCUGGCGGCGUGGAUUAGGCAUGCAAGUCGAACGGUAUCAUCCUUUCGGGGGUGAGAGAGUGGCGAACUGGUGAGUAACACGUAGGUUAUCUACCCUCAAGACGGGGACAACCCAGGGAAACUUGGGCUAAUACCGGAUGUGAGCAACUUUUAGUUGUUUGAAAGGUGGCGUAAGCUGUCGCUUGGGGAUGAGCCUGCGUCCUAUUAGUUAGUUGGUGAGGUAACGGCUCACCUAGGCAAUGAUAGGUAGGCGGCCUUAACGGGUGGUCGCCCACACUGGGAUUGAGAUACGGCCCAGACUCCUACGGGAGGCAGCAGUCGAGAAUAGUCUACAAUGGUCGGAAGACUGAUAGUGCGACGCCGCGUGAACGAUGAAUCCCGUUGGGGUUAAAGUUCUUUUAUAUGUGAGCAGUGCUUCUUAUAUUAACAGUAUGGGGAAGAGAUAUUAGCAUAUGAAUAAGCAACGGCUAACUCCGUGCCAGCAGCCGAGGUAAUA